GGCUAAGUAGCUCAGUGGUUAGAGCGAACGUUUCAUAAGCGUUAGGUCGGGAGUUCGAUUCUCCCCUUAGCCA
Molecule: transfer RNA, 73 nt
Filed under: Candidatus Roizmanbacteria bacterium
Lineage: Bacteria; Candidatus Roizmaniibacteriota
Description: tRNA-Met
Rfam family: tRNA
About the family: Transfer RNA (tRNA) molecules are approximately 80 nucleotides in length. Their secondary structure includes four short double-helical elements and three loops (D, anti-codon, and T loops).
Source: RNAcentral